GGAGAUGUGGCUCAGUGGUAGAGUACUUGCUAACAUGUGCAAGGCCCUGGGUUCCAUCUCCA
RNAcentral lists this transfer RNA (62 nucleotides) under Heterocephalus glaber (naked mole-rat). It matches the Rfam family "tRNA". From Rfam's summary of the family: Transfer RNA (tRNA) molecules are approximately 80 nucleotides in length. Their secondary structure includes four short double-helical elements and three loops (D, anti-codon, and T loops). Lineage: Eukaryota; Metazoa; Chordata; Mammalia; Rodentia; Bathyergidae. The record is from Rfam by way of RNAcentral.